RNAcentral lists this transfer RNA (67 nucleotides) under Leptocentrus albolineatus. RNAcentral describes it as "tRNA-Leu". RNAcentral also lists the same sequence under 1 other name. The record is from RNAcentral. Lineage: Eukaryota; Metazoa; Arthropoda; Insecta; Hemiptera; Membracidae.
UCUAACGUGGCAGAACUAAAUGCAAUGAAUUUAAGACUCAUAUAUGAAUAAACAUUUUCCUUUAGAA